RNAcentral lists this ribosomal RNA (917 nucleotides) under uncultured archaeon. Its description in RNAcentral is "bacterial SSU rRNA". It matches the Rfam family "Archaeal small subunit ribosomal RNA", at positions 1 to 922 of the family's 1478-position model. The record is from RNAcentral.
UUCCGGUUGAUCCUGCCGGAGGUCACUGCUAUUGGAGUUCGAUUAAGCCAUGCGAGUCAAUAGUUCUUCGUGAACUAGGCGGACUGCUCAGUAACACGUGGGUAAUCUACCCUCGGGUCAGGGACAACCCCGGGAAACUGGGGAUAAUACCUGAUAGGUGAAGUGGUCUGGAAUGAUACUUCGCCUAAAGCUCCGGCGCCCGAGGAUGAGCCUGCGGCCGAUUAGGUUGUUGGCGGUGUAAAGGACCACCAAGCCUGUGAUCGGUACGGGUGGUGAGAGCCAUAGCCCGGAGAUGGGGGCUGAGACACGGCCCCAGGCCCUACGGGGCGCAGCAGGCGCGAAAACUACGCAAUGCGCGAAAGCGUGACGUGGGAACUCCAAGUGCCUUGCCUUCGGGUAAGGCUUUUGUGCAGUGUAAGUAGCUGCACGAAUAAGAGCGGGGUAAGACCGGUGCCAGCCGCCGCGGUAACACCGGCCGCUCAAGUGGUGACCGCUUUUAUUGGGCCUAAAGCGUUCGUAGCCGGUCCGGUAAGUCCUUGGGUAAAUCCUUCGGCUUAACCGAAGGAAUUCCGAGGAUACUGCUGGACUUGGGGUUGAGAGAAGUCGGAGGUACCUCCGGGGUAGGGGUGAAAUCCUAUAAUCCUGGGGGGACCACCAGUGGCGAAGGCGUCCGACUAGAGUAAGCUCGACGGUGAGGGACGAAAGCCAGGGGCGCGAACGGGAUUAGAUACCCCGGUAGUCCUGGCUGUAAACGCUGCGCGCUAGGUGUUACGUCCUCUACGAGGGGACGUAGUGCCGAAGAGAAGUUGAUAAGCGUGCCGCCUGGGAAGUAUUACCGCAAGGUAGAAACUUAAAGGAAUUGGCGGGGGAGCACCACAAGGGGUGGAGUCUGCGGUUCAAUUGGAUUCAACGCCGGA